Molecule: non-coding RNA, 99 nt
Organism: Acanthosepion pharaonis
Lineage: Eukaryota; Metazoa; Mollusca; Cephalopoda; Sepiida; Sepiidae
Source: the annotation of a GenBank genome assembly
CACGCUGAAAAUACCGGUUCUCGUUCGAUCAGCCAAGUUAAGCAGCGUCGAGCCCGGUUAGUACUUAGAUGGGGGAUCACUUGGGAAGACCGUGUACUA